CCCAGCAGGCACUGGACGUCAAUAUAACGUCAUACUGACAUUGGAUCCCAACGUUGGACAGACGUUGUAAUUUGGUUGAAAAUGAAAAUCGGGUUGACGACAGAACCCAACGUCAGACUGACGUCAAUCUCCAACGUUGGUAAGACGUUGCAUUUUGGUUGAAAAUUAAAAUCUGGUUGACGUCAGAACCCAACGUCAGACUGACGUCAAUCUCCGACGUUGGUAAGACGUUGCAUUUUGGAUGAAAAUGAAAAUCUGGUUGACGUCAGAACCCAACGUCAGACUGACGUCAAUCUCCGACGUUGGUAAGACGUUGCAUUUUGGAUGAAAAUGAAAAUCUGGUUGACGUCAGAACCCAACGUCAGACUGACGUCAAUCUCCGACGUUGGUAAGACGUUGCAUUUUGGAUGAAAAUGAAAAUCUGGUUGACGUCAGAACCCAACGUCAGACUGACGUCAAUCUCCGACGUUGGUAAGACGUUGCAUUUUGGAUGAAAAUGAAAAUCUGGUUGACGUCAGAACCCAACGUCAGACUGACGUCAAUCUCCAACGUUGGUCAGAUGUGGUAUUUAGGAUGAAAAUGAAAAUCGGGUCGAUGUUAGAACCCAACGUCAGACUAACAUCAAUCUCCUUCAUCUGACAGACAUUGCAUUUUGUUGGAAAAUUAAAUCAAAAUCAUUAUCUGUCACAAACCAACAACUGUCAAAAUUGUCAAACUGUCAAACUCAAACUUUAAAAUAAGAUAUGGCUAGUAUGGAUUGUGUUGACAUGACAUCAAACCUUUAACAGAGACAGGAAUUUUGUUGUAAAAUAAAAAUCAACAUACAGAGAGAGAAAAGAAAAAUAAAAACAUACAGAGAAAGUGUAACAUCAGAUCAGAUAGAGUUCAAGAUUCAAUGUGAGACAACACUAAAUGAUUAAAUUUUAAAGGGUUAGUUCACCCAAAACUGAAAAUUAUGUCAUUAAUGACUCACCCUCAUGUUGUUCCAAACCCGUAAGACCUUCAUUCAUCU
Long non-coding RNA from Cyprinus carpio carpio, 1012 nucleotides. NCBI's taxonomy places the organism in Eukaryota, Metazoa, Chordata, Actinopteri, Cypriniformes, Cyprinidae. The record is from Ensembl.